This is an RNA transcript of Cucumis melo (muskmelon), 1427 nucleotides long. It is a transcript of the gene named mitotic-spindle organizing protein 1A-like, with no coding region annotated. The transcript has 4 exons. The record is from RefSeq and is a predicted model, not a curated record. Lineage: Eukaryota; Viridiplantae; Streptophyta; Magnoliopsida; Cucurbitales; Cucurbitaceae.
GGUGGUCUAUUGUGAUAGAUUUGAUGGUCUAUACCCUUUUCUCUAUUGCGAUAGACUUGAUGGUCCAUAGCUCUUGUAUGGGUGGUCUACCGAGGUAGACUUAAUGGUCCAUAGCCACGUGUGGGUAGUCUUUAAAUGGAUUUGAUGGAUGAAACUAGAACUUUUGAAAAUUUCAUAGCCCUUCUUUGGGUGGUCUUUGUAUGGACUUGAUGGAUAACUAUAAAAUUUUCAUAGCUCAAUUUUGAGUGGUUUGUCUUUGACAGACUUGAUGAAAUUGGUCAUGAUAUGGACUACUUGUGAAGUCUUCAUAGCUCAGUUUUGAGUAGUGUAUCGUGAUAGACUUGACGAAGGAAUAAACGUGAUUGUAAAGGUGUGACUGUCUUCUAUGAAAAAGUUUACAAAUCUUUUUCUAGAGCUUUCACAUUGACCUGAGGUUUUAUGUGCAUAGCCUUAAAUAGCACAAUUUUGAGGUGUCUAUUGUGAUAGACUUUAUUGCGGAAUCAGUGAAAAAUUAAAAAACAAAACUUGUUGCGGAGGUCUCAAUCGUAGCUAUCGAAAGUUCAACCCUACUUUUAUCUUUCCUUUAUUCCACUCCUUACUCGCUCGGUGUGUUAACUUUGAGAGUAACAGACAUAAGUGAUUCGACAGGUGGCAACAUAACAUUCAUGAUCAAUGUUUGUUUUUCCAAUAACUUCCUCUCAAUUCAUUACAUCCUCCUUCUCUUCAAACUGCUCUGAAUUUCGAUUAUAUUGGGAACUUUCAUUUUAGUCGUUUCGCAGAACUUCUCCCUUUGUUGGAUCAUAUUCUUCGGUGAUCUCGUCGCAUCUUCGUCGUCCAACGCCCAACCGCUGUUGUGAUUUUCGCCGGUUAGAGUGUCGAUUCUCUAAAUGGAUCAAGAGGCUGCACGAACUGCUCGGGAAUCGCUAGAUCUCGCAUUUCAUAUGUCUAAUGUACUUGAUUCCGGGAUCGAUCGCCACACUCUCUCUGUCCUCAUUGCUCUCUGUGACAUGGGUGUGAACCCUGAAGCUCUGGCUGCUGUUGUCAAGGAACUACGGCGGGAGCCACCCUCAUCAGAGACCAACGUAUCCAGUAACAAGUCAUAAGUUCCCCAAGCAAAGAAACAACUCUGUUCUUCUGAUGAAGGUUGAAAUACAAAUGUGUUCUUUAACCAUGUUUCUAUAUGUAGCUUACUUGGAUGGCAUCUUGUGAUAGAUGGCUUGGUGUUUAGAAUGUUUUUAGCAUUCACAAUCUUGUGUUCAUCCUCUCUUCUCUAUUUCGAUGCCUUACAGAUUGCAUGUUUAGCUGAUUUAGUCAAAAUAACAGAAUUGGCACACAUGUAUUCUAAUCAGAUCUGUUGGAAUGAGAGUGAGGGAGUAUUCUACCUGAACAUACCAACAGUUGAUCAAUAUCGGUAUGUUUUUCCAUUC